GGAGAAGCGGCAACGAUUGGCGGUGUUGCAGCAGACUGUAAAUCUGUUCCCUCGCGGUAAACAUUGUAGGUUCAAUUCCUAUCUUCUCCA
RNAcentral lists this transfer RNA (90 nucleotides) under Bacteriophage sp. Its description in RNAcentral is "tRNA-Tyr". It matches the Rfam family "tRNA". Rfam says of the family: Transfer RNA (tRNA) molecules are approximately 80 nucleotides in length. Their secondary structure includes four short double-helical elements and three loops (D, anti-codon, and T loops). Further hydrogen bonds mediate the characteristic L-shaped molecular structure. tRNAs have two regions of fundamental functional importance: the anti-codon, which is responsible for specific mRNA codon recognition, and the 3' end, to which the tRNAs corresponding amino acid is attached (by aminoacyl-tRNA synthetases). tRNAs cope with the degeneracy of the genetic code in two manners: having more than one tRNA (with a specific anti-codon) for a particular amino acid; and 'wobble' base-pairing, i.e. permitting non-standard base-pairing at the 3rd anti-codon position. The record is from RNAcentral.